ACGGAGGGUGCAAGCGUUAAUCGGAAUUACUGGGCGUAAAGCGCACGUAGGCUGUAGUGUAAGUCAGGGGUGAAAUCCCACGGCUCAACCGUGGAACUGCCUUUGAUACUGCACAACUUGAAUCCGGGAGAGGGUGGCGGAAUUCCAGGUGUAGGAGUGAAAUCCGUAGAUAUCGGGAGGACCACCUGUGGCGAAGGCGCCUAACUGGAACGAACCUGACGGUGAGUAACGAAAGCCAGGGGCGCGAACCG
Molecule: ribosomal RNA, 251 nt
Filed under: uncultured prokaryote
Description: partial 16S rRNA
Rfam family: Bacterial small subunit ribosomal RNA
Source: RNAcentral